AGUGAACGCUGGCGGCAUGCCUAACACAUGCAAGUCGAACGGCAGUUCAUUAAGAGCUUGCUCUUACGGGUGGUGCUUGUCGGACUGGUGAGGAAUUCAUCGGAACCUACUUUUUCGUGGUGUAUAACGUAGGUAAACUCACGCUACUAGCGUAUACGACCUACGGGAUAAUGCAAGCGCUUUUUGUACCUUUCGAGAUUUUAUCAGUCGAUGUCGGAUUAGCUAGUUGGCGGGUUAAUGGCCAACUAACGCGACGAUCCGUCGCUGGUCAGAGAGGAUGGUCAGCCACACUGGAACUGAGACACGGUCGAGACUCCUAAGGGAGGCAGCAGUGGGGAAUAUUGGACAAUGGGCGCAAGCCUGAUACAGCCAUACCGCGUGAAUGAAGAAGGACUUCGGGUUGUAAAGCGCUUUUGUUAGGAAAGAAAAGCAGCAGGUUAAUACCGGGAUGUAAUGACGGUACCAAAAGAAUAAGCACCGGCUAACUUCGUG
Molecule: ribosomal RNA, 492 nt
Filed under: uncultured bacterium
Lineage: Bacteria
Description: partial 16S ribosomal RNA
Rfam family: Bacterial small subunit ribosomal RNA
Source: RNAcentral